UUACUAGAGUAGCACUCGCAUAUCAAUAAGCGGAGGAAAAGAAACUAACAAGGAUUCCCCUAGUAACGGCGAGUGAAGCGGGAAGAGCUCAAAUUUGAAAUCUUAAAGGGUUUCCCUUUACGAAUUGUAGUUUAAAGAAGUGUUUUCUGUUGAGGUUUUGGUAAAAGUUCUUUGGAAUAGGACAUCAUAGAGGGUGAGAAUCCCGUAUUUGACCUUUACUUUCAACUUUGUGAUACACUUUCAAAGAGUCGGAUUGUUUGGGAAUGCAGUCCAAAAUGGGUGGUAAAUUUCAUCUAAAGCUAAAUAUUGGCGAGAGACCGAUAGCGAACAAGUACCGUGAGGGAAAGAUGAAAAGAACUUUGAAAAGAGAGUUAAACAGUACGUGAAAUUGUCAAAAGGGAAGCGUUUGACACCAGUGUUGUUUUUCUGAAAAUCAAUUAAAGAACUGUUUAUGCUAAGUUGUUUAGACUUUAUCAGCUAACUGUUUAGUUUUGAGCUUUUCUUUAAUGCACUUUUCAGUUAACAAGUCAACAUCAAUUUCUUUUGCUGUAAAAAAGCUUGAGGAAGGUGGCUUGAGAUUCGUCUUAAGUGUUUAUAGCCUCUUGCCUAUGCAGUCGGAGAGAUUGAGGUCUGCAGCGUAGAUCCUUCGGGGCUAAAUGCAUUUGUGCUAAGUUAUAGCAUUUUAUAGACAACUUGUUGACUAUGAUUUGUCUUGUAGCUUACUCGCUUAUGUUAUUUUACCUACGCUUAGGAUGUUGAGCGCAUGUCUCUCUCU
RNAcentral lists this ribosomal RNA (775 nucleotides) under uncultured Neocallimastigales. RNAcentral describes it as "partial large subunit ribosomal RNA". It matches the Rfam family "Eukaryotic large subunit ribosomal RNA", at positions 1 to 616 of the family's 3401-position model. The record is from RNAcentral. Lineage: Eukaryota; Fungi; Neocallimastigomycota; Neocallimastigomycetes; Neocallimastigales.